CGACCUGAGAUCGCCACGGUGACUUGCAAGCAACUCACUGCACUUAGGCACUGGACUACCUGAAUUUUUAAUUCAGUGACGGAAGGCUGCUGGGUGUAGUCAAGUACUUGACUUAUCGGUGCGUGUGUCAAGAUGGGAUUGACCACUCCAGUUUAGGAGCUGUGUACAGUCGUGUUUCAAUUUAGCAAAACCUUGGCCAGGAUAGUCCUUGUGAGGAGUCACAGGACUGUUUGAGUUGAGCACGAUUCGGAUGAUCUGAUCAGGGUUGACAGUUUAAUCCUGAGUCGUCCUAAACACAGGGGUCA
This 305-nucleotide long non-coding RNA is filed under the name Elaeis guineensis (African oil palm). Its description in RNAcentral is "long non-coding RNA (EGUI_LNC048794)". The record is from RNAcentral. Lineage: Eukaryota; Viridiplantae; Streptophyta; Magnoliopsida; Arecales; Arecaceae.